UAGCGUAUAUUAAAGUUGUUGCAGUUAAAAAGCUCGUAGUUGAACUUCGGAACCGGUCGAUUGGUCCGUCCUCUGGAUUGUGUACUGAUCGAUCUGUUCUUCUUCGCGAAGACCGGGUGUGCCCUUAACUGGGUGUGCACGGGAUUCACGACGUUUACUUUGAAAAAAUUAGAGUGUUCAAAGCAGGCAUUCGCUUGAAUGUCUCAGCACGGAAUAAUAGAAUAGGACUUUGGUCUUAUUUUGUUGGUUUCCGAGACCGAAGUAAUGAUUAAUAGGGACAGUUGGGGGCAUUCGUAUUUCAUUGUCAGAGGUGAAAUUCUUGGAUUUAUGAAAGACGAACUUCUGCGAAAGCAUUUGCCAAGGAUGUUUUCAUUAAUCAAGAACGAAAGUUGGAGGCUCGAAGACGAUCAGAUACCGUCCUAGUUCCAACCAUAAACGAUGCCGUCUGCGGAUCAGCGGUCGCUCAUUUAAGGCUCCGUUGGCACGCUAUGAGAAAUCAAAGACUUCGGGUUCCGGGGGGAGUAUGUUCGCAAGAAUGAAAC
Molecule: ribosomal RNA, 542 nt
Filed under: marine Metazoa environmental sample
Lineage: Eukaryota; Metazoa
Description: SSU rRNA
Rfam family: Eukaryotic small subunit ribosomal RNA
Source: RNAcentral